Non-coding RNA from Paramuricea clavata, 313 nucleotides. The record is from the annotation of a GenBank genome assembly. NCBI's taxonomy places the organism in Eukaryota, Metazoa, Cnidaria, Anthozoa, Malacalcyonacea, Plexauridae.
AAUUAAGUUUAGUUUAGUUUAUGCCAAAUCCAUUGACGUAAUAGCCAGAGUAAACGUUGGACAGGAAGGACGUUUACUACAGUUAAUAAAUAAUAGCAUGAUAUAGACUGUGUGGAGAACACAUGUUAGAGAGUUAAGUUUACGCUCUUGAAGAGGUAACAUCAACGACGAAGUCAGAUCAAGAUAGAAAUAUUAAGUGUGAUAUAUAAUCUAUAUAUAAUCAAUCAAAGUUUAUAUAACUAUAAUAAAUAAAGUUUUGGAGCAACUAUUGUGUAUGCAUUGGUAAUCCUAACUGGCAAAAAGUAACCUGUAU